AGCUAAUUAGUCCAUAAAAAGACAUAUGUCUUGAAAAUAUAAGAAGGGAAAUAAAUAACCCAUUAGCUU
RNAcentral lists this transfer RNA (69 nucleotides) under Proscopia sp. HS-2014. RNAcentral's name for it is "tRNA-Ser". The record is from RNAcentral. Lineage: Eukaryota; Metazoa; Arthropoda; Insecta; Orthoptera; Proscopiidae.